CACUUCGAACAGAAGAGUGAAAUAGUCCCUGAACCCAUACGCCUACAAGCAGUCGGAGCCGCUUCGUGCGGUGACGGCGUGCCUUUUGCAUAAUGAGCCUACGAGUUACUCAUCACCAGCGAGGUUAAGUACUUCAGGUACGUAAGCCGAAGCGAAAGCGAGUCUGAAUAGGGCGUCAAGUUGGUGGUGGUAGACGCGAAACCUUAGUGAUCUACCCAUGGGCAGGGUGAAGGUUUGGUAACACAAACUGGAGGCCCGAACCGGUAAACGUUGAAAAGUUUUCGGAUGACCUGUGGGUAGGGGUGAAAGGCCAAUCAAACUGGGAAAUAGCUCGUACUCUCCGAAAUGCAUUUAGGUGCAGCCUCUGUUGUUUUGUUCUAGAGGUAGAGCUACUGAUUGGAUGCGAGGGCUUCACCGCCUAUCAAAUCCGGCCAAACUCCGAAUGCUAGAACAUGAAGACAGGGAGUGAGCCAGCGGGUGCUAAGGUCCGUUGACGAAAGAGGGAGAACUCAGACCAUCAGCUAAGGUCCCCAAUUAUAUGCUAAGUUGGAAUAAAAACGGGGUGGGACUGCUUAGACAGCUAGGAUGUUGGCUUGGAAGCAGCCAUUCAUUUAAAGAGUGCGUAACAGCUCACUAGUCGAGCGGUCCUGCAUGGAUAAUACGCGGGCAUAAGCAUAUAACCGAAGCUAUGGGAUUGUAGAUGAUACAAUCGGUAGGAGAGCAUUCCAUUCAGCAUAGAAGCAGUAUCGUGAGGUAUUGUGGAGCGGAUGGAAAAGCAAAUGUAGGCAUAAGUAACGAUAAUGCGGGUGAGAACCCCGCACGCCGAAAGAUCAAGGAUUCCCCGGCAAUGUCAAUCAUCCGGGGGUAAGUCGGAUCCUAAGGGUAAGCCGAGUGGCGAUCCCGAUGGCAAACAGGUUAAUAUUCCUGUACUGAUCAUAACUGCGAUGCAGCGACGCAGAGGUGACACUGCUGCGUACUGACGGAAUAGUACGUUGAAACCCGUAUUCUUUGAUACCGGUAGUGAAGCACGCCGGUAGAGAUGAAAGGUGAUAGUACCGCAAUGCUUCGGUUGCGCGGAUAAUGCAGGUAAGCUGACUGCCAAGAAAACCUGCUAAGCUUCAGGUAAUGAUCAUCCGUACUGUAAACGGACACACGUGAUCAGGUAGAAAAUACUAAGGCGCUCGAGAGAUUCAUGGUUAAGGAACUAGGCAAAAUGGUCCUGUAACUUCGGGAUAAAGGACGCUCUUGUGAAAGAGCCGCAGAUAAUAGGCCCAGGCGACUGUUUACCAAAAACACAUGGCUAUGCUAAUUCGCAAGAAGAUGUAUAUGGCCUGACACCUGCCCGGUGCCGGAAGGUUAAGAGGAGAGCUCAGAGGUAACUCGAAGGUUUGAAUUGAAGCCCCGGUAAACGGCGGCCGUAACUAUAACGGUCCUAAGGUAGCGAAAUUCCUUGUCGGGUAAGUUCCGACCUGCACGAAUGGUGUAACGAUCUGGGUACUGUCUCAACCAUGAGCUCGGUGAAAUUGUAGUUCCGGUGAAGAUGCCGGAUACCCGCAACGGGACGGAAAGACCCCGUGAACCUUUACUGCAGCUUUGCAUUGAUUUUGGGUAACAGAUGUGUAGGAUAGGUCGGAGGCUUUGAUGCUGCGUCGUCAGGCGUAGAGUAGCCGUCGUUGAAAUACGACCCUUUUGUUAUCUGAGUUCUAACCCGUUAGGGAGACAUUGCAUGGUGGGUAGUUUGACUGGGGUGGUCGCCUCCAAAAGAGUAACGGAGGCUUCUCAAGGUACCCUCAAGGCGUUUGGUAAUCGUCUGCAGAGUGCAAUGGCAUAAGGGUGCUUGACUGUGAGACCGACACGUCGAUCAGGUUGGAAACAAGAGCAUAGUGAUCCGGUGGUUCCGCAUGGAAG
RNAcentral lists this ribosomal RNA (1908 nucleotides) under human gut metagenome. RNAcentral's name for it is "bacterial LSU rRNA". It matches the Rfam family "Bacterial large subunit ribosomal RNA", at positions 522 to 2439 of the family's 2925-position model. The record is from RNAcentral.